GACGAACGCUGGCGGCGUGCCUAAUACAUGCAAGUUGAGCGCUGAAGGUUGGUACUUGUACCGACUGGAUGAGCAGCGAACGGGUGAGUAACGCGUGGGGAAUCUGCCUUUGAGCGGGGGACAACAUUUGGAAACGAAUGCUAAUACCGCAUAAAAACUUUAAACACAAGUUUUAAGUUUGAAAGAUGCAAUUGCAUCACUCAAAGAUGAUCCCGCGUUGUAUUAGCUAGUUGGUGAGGUAAAGGCUCACCAAGGCGAUGAUACAUAGCCGACCUGAGAGGGUGCUCGGCCACAUUGGGACUGGGACACGGCCCAAACUCCUGCGGGAGGCAGCAGUAGGGGAUCUUCGGCAAUGGCCGCAAGUCUGACCGAGCAACGCCGCGUGAGUGCAGAAGGUUUUCGGAUCGUAAAACUCUGUUGGUAGAGAAGAACGUUGGUGAGAGUGGAAAGCUCAUCAAGUGACGGUAACUACCCAGAAAGGGACGGCUAACUACGUG
Molecule: ribosomal RNA, 497 nt
Filed under: uncultured bacterium
Lineage: Bacteria
Description: partial 16S ribosomal RNA
Rfam family: Bacterial small subunit ribosomal RNA
Source: RNAcentral